UGGGGAAUUUUGGACAAUGGGCGAAAGCCUGAUCCAGCAAUGCCGCGUGUGUGAAGAAGGCCUUCGGGUUGUAAAGCACUUUUGUCCGGAAAGAAAUCCUUGGCUCUAAUACAGUCGGGGGAUGACGGUACCGGAAGAAUAAGCACCGGCUAACUACGUGCCAGCAGCCGCGGUAAUACGUAGGGUGCAAGCGUUAAUCGGAAUUACUGGGCGUAAAGCGUGCGCAGGCGGUUUGCUAAGACCGAUGUGAAAUCCCCGGGCUCAACCUGGGAACUGCAUUGGUGACUGGCAGGCUAGAGUAUGGCAGAGGGGGGUAGAAUUCCACGUGUAGCAGUGAAAUGCGUAGAGAUGUGGAGGAAUACCGAUGGCGAAGGCAGCCCCCUGGGCCAAUACUGACGCUCAUGCACGAAAGCGUGGGGAGCAAACAGGAUUAAAUACCCUGGUAGUCCACGCCCUAAACGAUGUCAACUAGUUGUUGGGGAUUCAUUUUCCUUAGUAACGUAGCUAACGCGUGAAGUUGACCGCCUGGGGGAGUACGGUCGC
Molecule: ribosomal RNA, 543 nt
Filed under: uncultured bacterium
Lineage: Bacteria
Description: partial 16S ribosomal RNA
Rfam family: Bacterial small subunit ribosomal RNA
Source: RNAcentral